Molecule: non-coding RNA, 24 nt
Filed under: Callorhinchus milii (elephant shark)
Lineage: Eukaryota; Metazoa; Chordata; Chondrichthyes; Chimaeriformes; Callorhinchidae
Also listed under: 36 other names
Source: RNAcentral
CCCAGUGUUCAGACUACCUGUUCA